GCGAGGGUAGAUAAGCCUGGCCAAAAUCGAUGGACUUAAGAUCCAUUCUCUCAGGAGUUCGUGGGUUCGAAUCCCUCCCCUCGCA
Molecule: transfer RNA, 85 nt
Filed under: Methanofollis fontis
Lineage: Archaea; Methanobacteriati; Methanobacteriota; Methanomicrobia; Methanomicrobiales; Methanomicrobiaceae
Rfam family: tRNA
About the family: Transfer RNA (tRNA) molecules are approximately 80 nucleotides in length.
Source: Rfam by way of RNAcentral